GAUGAACGCUGGCGGCGUGCCUAAUACAUGCAAGUCGAGCGAACAGACGAGGAGCUUGCUCCUCUGACGUUAGCGGCGGACGGGUGAGUAACACGUGGAUAACCUACCUAUAAGACUGGGAUAACUUCGGGAAACCGGAGCUAAUACCGGAUAAUAUAUUGAACCGCAUGGUUCAAUAGUGAAAGACGGUUUUGCUGUCACUUAUAGAUGGGUCCGCGCCGCAUUAGCUAGUUGGUAAGGUAACGGCUUACCAAGGCAACGAUGCGUAGCCGACCUGAGAGGGUGAUCGGCCACACUGGAACUGAGACACGGUCCAGACUCCUACGGGAGGCAGCAGUAGGGAAUCUUCCGCAAUGGGCGAAAGCCUGACGGAGCAACGCCGCGUGAGUGAUGAAGGUCUUCGGAUCGUAAAACUCUGUUAUUAGGGAAGAAAAAAUGUGUAAGUAACUAUGCACGUCUUGACGGUACCUAAUCAGAAAGCCACGGCUAACUACGUG
Molecule: ribosomal RNA, 497 nt
Filed under: uncultured bacterium
Lineage: Bacteria
Description: partial 16S ribosomal RNA
Rfam family: Bacterial small subunit ribosomal RNA
Source: RNAcentral